Molecule: ribosomal RNA, 409 nt
Filed under: uncultured bacterium
Lineage: Bacteria
Description: bacterial SSU rRNA
Rfam family: Bacterial small subunit ribosomal RNA
Source: RNAcentral
UGGGGAAUCUUGCGCAAUGGGCGAAAGCCUGACGCAGCGACGCCGCGUGCGGGAAGAAGGCCUUCGGGUUGUAAACCGCUUUCAGGAGGGAAGAAGCGAAAGUGACGGUACCUCCAGAAGAAGGACCGGCCAACUACGUGCCAGCAGCCGCGGUAAUACGUAGGGUCCAAGCGUUGUCCGGAAUUAUUGGGCGUAAAGAGCUCGUAGGCGGUCCAUUAAGUCAGAAGUGAAAUCUCAGGGCUCAACCCUGAAAUUGCUCCUGAUACUGGUGGACUUGAGGUAGGUAGGGGAAGGUGGAAUUCCUGGUGUAGCGGUGAAAUGCGCAGAUAUCAGGAGGAACACCGGUGGCGAAGGCGGCCUUCUGGGCCUUACCUGACGCUGAGGAGCGAAAGCGUGGGGAGCGAACAGG